GACCAGUGAACACACACACACAUACGGCCGCGACUCGCUCCUCACUCGCUUCCCCUCAAAACUUUUUAUCUGGUAAUUAAACUACUUCAUUAACUACUACAAAAAGUGAUUAUAUAAGUGAUAAGUGUAGUUUAAGUGUAUAUAAUUAAUUAGGUGUAGUGAGGAGAGGAAUAAUUAUAUUUUAAAGUGAAAUAAACGUAUUUUUUCGGGAGGAAUUUUGAAAUGAUUAGAAUUUUUUUGGUCCUGAUCAUACUGAGAGAUUUUAUACCCAAAUGAGGGAGUUUUUUGUGUUAUUUGAUAGGGAAUGAUCGUGUCUACUGUCAACCCUGUGUCAGUCCUGUCAGCGAGGAUGGGGAGGCUAGUGAACUGACUUCAACAUACGCCUUGAUAUUAUUAAGCCAUGGAGUUGAGACGUGUCUGAGAGAGGUACCAGGCCAGGUUGAGACAGUCUGCCUUCUUAGCUGUGGUCGUCAUAGCUGCCUUGACUUCAUUCUCUAUUUUAGCUGCACUACACACGCUGCCCAGAGUGAUGAGUGGCCAGUGUCUGCUGUCAUCUUCGGGUGUUAUGGCG
Molecule: long non-coding RNA, 571 nt
Organism: Homarus americanus (American lobster)
Lineage: Eukaryota; Metazoa; Arthropoda; Malacostraca; Decapoda; Nephropidae
Exons: 3
Source: RefSeq, a predicted model, not a curated record